Molecule: ribosomal RNA, 2544 nt
Filed under: bioreactor sludge metagenome
Description: bacterial LSU rRNA
Rfam family: Bacterial large subunit ribosomal RNA
Source: RNAcentral
UCAAGCUGUUAAGGGUGUACGGUGGAUGCCUUGGGAUCGAGAGGCGAUGAAAGACGUGGAAGCCUGCGAUAAGCUCCGGGAAGCUGGCAAACAAGCAUUGAUCCGGAGAUUUCUGAAUGAGGAAACUCACCCGCAAGGGUAUCUGCACAUGAAUGCAUAGUGUGCAGAAGCGAACGUAGGGAACUGAAACAUCUAAGUACCUACAGGAAAAGAAACAGACAUGGAUUCCGUUAGUAGCGGCGAGCGAAAACGGACAAGCCCAAACCAGUCUUCGGACUGGGGUUGUGGACACCUCGAGCUGAAAAACAGUUAGCAAAACGCUCUGGAAAGUGCGGCCAUAGCGGGUGAUAGCCCCGUAUGCGAAAACUGAAAUAGGCGUUGAGAGGUGCUCCAGAGUAGCGCCGAACUCGUGGAAUUUGGCGUGAAGCUGCCGGGACCACCCGGCAAGGCUAAAUACUCCUCGAUCACCGAUAGUGAACAAGUAGGGCGAUUGAAAGGUGAAAAGUACAGCUAUUAGCUGAGUCAAAAGUACCUGAAACCGUACACUUACAACGCGGUAGGAGCACUAUGCCCCCUCGGGGGAAUGUGUGACUGCGUACCUUUUGCAUAAUGGACCGGCGAGUAUAUGUCUGCAGCAAGGCUAAGGUGUCAAGCACCGGAGCCGUAGCGAAAGCGAGUCUUAAGAUGGCGUCAAGUUGCAGGCUUAUGGCCCGAAACCUAGUGAUCUACCCGUGGGCAGAGUGAACAACCCGUAAAAGGGUUGGGAGGCUUGAAGCCGUGAACGUUGAAAAGUUCUGGCAUGACCUGCGGGGAGGAGUGAAAGUCUAAUCAAACUGGGAGAUAUCUGGUUCUCUGCGAAAUGCCUUUAGGGGCAGCCUCGAGCCACUACAUCAUAGGGGUAGAGCUACUGAAAGAGGACGUGGGGCUACCCGCCUACACGCCUCUACCAAACUCCGAAUACUAUGAUGACUAUCUCGGGAGUGAGUCCGCGAGGGAUAAUCUUCGCGGUCGAGAGGGAAACAACCUUGAUCGCCGGCUAAGGCCCCAAAACAUUGCUUAGUUCGUGAGGAAGUUAUUCUACUGAGACAGCCAGGAUGUUGGCUUAGAAGCAGCCACCAUUUAAAAAGUGCGUAAUAGCUUACUGGUCGAGUAGAGUAGCGCCGUAAAUGAUCGGGAAUAAGCAGUGUGCCGAAGCCGCGAGCUAAUUUAUUAGCGGUAGCAGAGCGUUGCACACCGCGUCGAAGGCGUACCGUGAGGAGCGCUGGAGCGUGUGCAAGUGAGAAUGCCGGUAUGAGUAACGAUAAUGCAGGUGAAAAUCCUGCACGCCGAAAGCCUAAGGUUUCCUGGGGAAGGUAAAUCCGCCCAGGGUUAGUCGGGAGCUAAGUCGAGGCCGAAAGGCGUAGACGAUGCACAGCAGGUUAAUAUUCCUGCACCGAUGUGGAGAUCGAACCAACGUGCGUUUUUUCAGGGCAGAUCCUCCGGUUAGUUGUGGAGGUUUCGCAAGAUCGAGGCCGUUUUGUUGCCGAAGUCUGCGACGAAAGAACCGAGAAAAGCGUUGGGGGCAAAGCAUUGUCCGUACUAAAACUGACACAGGUAGGCGAGGAGAGUAUCCUAAGGCGCUCGAGAGAACUGCGGUUAAGGAACUAGGCAAUCUAACCACGUAACUUCGGGAGAAGUGGUCCCUCCUCCUUCGGGAGAGGGCGCAGGAAGCAGACUGGGCGACUGUUUAUCAAAAACACAGUUCUGUGCUAACACGCAAGUGGAUGUAUACAGAAUGACGCCUGCUCGGUGCCGGAAUGUUAAGGAAGUCGGUUAGGGGUUCGCCCCAAAGCUGGCAACCGAAGCACCGGUAAACGGCGGCCGUAACUAUGACGGUCCUAAGGUAGCGAAGUUCCUUGUCGGGUAAGUUCCGACGUGCAUGAACGGCGUAACGACUUGGUCGCUGUCUCAACCGCAGACUCGGUGAAAUUGAAGUGGCGGUGAAGAUACCGCCUACCCGCAGCAAGACGGAAAGACCCCAUGCACCUUUACUAUAGCUUGGUACUGACGCCGGCUGAAAACUGCGUAGCAUAGGUGGGAGGCGUUGAUAGCUGGGUUUCGGCCCAGAAGGAGCCAACAAGUGAAAUACCACCCUGUUUGCAUUCGUCGUCUCACCCUGAUCCCGUGAAUCCGGGCAGGGAACCGUGCUAAGUGGUUAGUUUGACUGGGGCGGUCUCCUCCAAAAGAGUAACGGAGGAGUGCAAAGGCCCGCUCAGAACGGUUGGCAAUCGUUCGUCGAGCGCAUUGGUAGAAGCGGGCUUGACUGCGAGUGCUACGGCACAAGCAGAGCUGAAAGGCGGCCAAAGUGAUCCUGUGGUCCCGUGUGGAAGGGCCAUAGCUCAACGGAUAAAAGGUACGCUGGGGAUAACAGGCUGAUCGCCUCCGAGCGUCCAUAGCGGCGAGGCGGUUUGGCACCUCGAUGUCGGCCCAUCGCAUCCUGGGGCUGAAGGCGGUCCCAAGGGUUUGGCUGUUCGCCAAUUAAAGCGGUACGCGAGCUGGGUUCAG